Molecule: long non-coding RNA, 424 nt
Filed under: Equus caballus (horse)
Lineage: Eukaryota; Metazoa; Chordata; Mammalia; Perissodactyla; Equidae
Description: lncRNA (ENSECAG00000044539.1)
Source: RNAcentral
CUUAAGGGGGCCUGGGGGAGGGAGGGGAGGAAUCCUCUCUGCAGGAUUUCCUCCGCCGUUGCUCUCACUGGCGAAGCGAAGGUAGUACGUGUUAAAGGAAGAAGUGUGAAAAUACUGCUGUGGACAUUCUGGAAGUGACACCUUCUGCGAGGAAUGUUCGAAGACUCUAGAAAAGAGAUGGUAUUUGGAGGGACCUGGAAAUCUUGAAGAUAUACAACACAUUAGUGCCAUUUAAAAAUAGCUUUUAGGGGGCCGGUCCCGUGGCCGAGUGGUUAAGUUUGGGUGCUCUGCUUCCGUGGCCCAGGGUCUCGCCGGUUCGGAUCCUGGGUGUGGACAUGGCACCGCUCAUCAGACCAUGCUGAGGUGGCAUCCCACAUGCUACAACUAGAAGGACCCACAACUAAAAAUAUACAACUAUGUACCG